Molecule: non-coding RNA, 347 nt
Organism: Danio rerio (zebrafish)
Lineage: Eukaryota; Metazoa; Chordata; Actinopteri; Cypriniformes; Danionidae
Source: RefSeq, a predicted model, not a curated record
UGUCUGUUACAGCUCAGGGCCAACGUUUGCUUUAUUUUGUGCUGGUCAUUGCUGCUGGAUUUCUGUUGUUCGCCACUACCCUAGCGAUAUGUUGCAUCUGUAGGAAAUCUAGAAAAACAGAUGAGACUGGAGAGGAUACAAGAUCUAAUGUAGUGUUGUGUAAACCAACACAAAAAAUGAAAAAGCCGGAUGCUGUGUAUCAAAAUGUUCCCAAAAAGCGAUGACUGCAUCUGCUGUAUCAACUUUGGGCUUUAUCCACAUUUAUUUUCAAUAUCUCUGUUUUAUCUUUACUAUACUGCAGUGGUUCUGAAACUUUUGUCAUUCAGUACCACCUCAGAAAUAAAUUG